Molecule: long non-coding RNA, 648 nt
Organism: Equus caballus (horse)
Lineage: Eukaryota; Metazoa; Chordata; Mammalia; Perissodactyla; Equidae
Source: RefSeq, a predicted model, not a curated record
AAAGGCGUACAGUCUAUCGCCUCGUAAGCAGGUGGACGCACAAUCAUUUGGGACUCAGCCCAGUUGAUUAAGGUGAAGAUGUAGGCAUUUCGUCUGAGCCGGGUUGUCAAGGUGGAAUUGCGGCAGAAGCAGAAGUCCUAAAGUGGCGAGAUCUAAUUGCUGCCUCUUACUUGGGAAUGGAAUGGAUGAAGCGAUAUGUAUGUGUGAGGGGAGAGGACUAAGAGAGUAUCCUUAACAGGCAAGAUUUCAGCUUCAAAGUCUCCUGUACCUCUCCUCACCCCAGCCUUAGACAACUCAGCCUAACACCAUCAUCGCCACCAUCACCAAUUCACUGUCGUCCGAUAGUCAUGCACAGGCUUCUAUGUCUGACUUCUGAGCCAACCACGAAGCUGACUCCUUAAAGUCUUAUUCGAGUUAAAGAAUUCAUCAGCUUUCUAAAUGUUCUUUGGAGUUCAGAAGACUAUAAACACGGUUAUGAAAACUCUGUCAUCAAGCUGCUUCCAGUCCCUUUGCUUUUGUAUUGUGGGUCCUCUUUGCCUUGUGUAAUCAUUUUCGACACUUUGUGAUGAAUCUUGCAGAGAUCUCCACAACUCUUCCUUCGAUUUCAAUGUAGAAUCAAACCCUCUGAUUCUGAAAAAUAAUUUUAGA